RNAcentral lists this long non-coding RNA (360 nucleotides) under Sorghum bicolor (sorghum). Its description in RNAcentral is "long non-coding RNA (SBIC_LNC008965)". The record is from RNAcentral. Lineage: Eukaryota; Viridiplantae; Streptophyta; Magnoliopsida; Poales; Poaceae.
AGACAACUAGUAGAAUACGAACUUCUCACCACCACUAGCCAAGACAUAGAUCCCUUGGCAACACCUACUUGUAUUCACCCCUGUACAAGCACUUAGGUACAAGAUAAUACAAAAUCUCAUCCCCCGCUCGACGUAGGGCCUUCUCUUGCCCGAACCAGGAUAAAUCUCCGUGUCAUUCUUGCAUCACCAUCUGGAAGAGGGAGCACGCACACAAAUUCACUCGUUGGUGUUGUUGACGGUCCUUAAGUACCAAAUAUAAUCAACAAAUAAAAAAAGAAAAGGAUCCAAAUGCAACCAACACCCAGACUUAGGGUUUUAUCUAACAGAAUUCCAUGAGUUUUGGUGUUUGUCUAUUUCUGC